GGGUGCUUUGCUACUCUCACUCCCAAUCAGGUGGCACUCAGGCUGUGGAGGCAGAUGAGGUAGACAAGGAAAGAAUAAGGCAAUAUGUGAUGCUUCUAGAGCAACUCCCAUCAUCCCUACACAUUGGUCAUGCUAGCUGCAGCUGAUGGGAGCUGGAGUCCCCACCCUCUGUUCUAGACGGGUGGAAGGAACAAGGGCAAGCGACAUGGUCAUUGGUCAGGUCUCCAAGUGGACAGACAAGGAUCCAAAGGACCGGAGGCAGAUGCCAUGGUAUAAUACAGACUUAGCGGUCAGGUUUUAGAGCAGACAAGGUACAGCUUUUCAGCAGCAUCUUUCAAGGAUGAGUUGCUUGGACUGAUGAACCAAAUCUGAAGAAGUGGGUUUGUAGAGCUAGCCUGGCCUGAUUUGGGUCUUCCAAGUCACCUUGUCCAGCUGGACUGAUGAAGCAAAGAGGCGUACCACACAGCAAUUUCUGGGGUGAUUGUCACACUCCACCUGGGCCUUCACCCCGGUAGGGGUUGGUUUUGCCAACCCCUAGGUAUGACUCUGUGGGGGCAACAUCACUCUGUUCCGCCCUGUGUUCAUCCCGUGCAGCACUGUUCCCUUCUGCUGCCAUGCUGACUUUUGGUGAGGACACUGUGUGACUUGGGUGAGGACACUGCCUGAGCCCCUUCUGCCUAGAAUCUUUGUGCCUGCCUAAUUUUGACUAUUCACCUUUUUCCGGCCCAACUGCAUUUACAGCCAGUGCAUGCUCUCUCCCUCUCACUGAGAUCCGAUGCCAUCCAAAUAAAAAGGACACAUUGCAGCUGUGUUCUAGUUCAGUCUUUUGGCGGCUGUUCCUUUCUGUUUGGCUGGGUAUGCAAUGAAUACAGCCUAUAUGCAAGAUACUGUCUUUGAUUUAAUGCCGUUCCUCACUCUCUGCUACUUUAGGCCAGCUUGGGCCUGGGAACACUCUGCCACAAAGCUACCCAGACCAUGCGGGGGAAGAUGGAGUGCUUUGCAAAGCGCUCCUUUGGCUGAUAAAGAAAAGGUGCCGACAGCUUCUAAAACGAAUUGUCUGCAGGUCAUUUCUAGUAGAUGCUUGGCUGUCAGAGGAGAGCAGAAAGAAAAAGGAGAAGUACAGGUCACGCCUUUGGGAUUCUUCAGGGCGUGCCUUAUUUGAGCCUCUAAGGCCAUUUACUACUGCGUCACCAUAACAAUUUCAGUGGAAUAGCUUUGGAGUUGGCGGAGUUGUGGGGUAUAAUCAAGGAAUGAUGUGGGAUGUUGAAGGAGAAGUGUUGAAUGUCUUUGAUACCGAGGGCCAACCCGGCAAAUGCAGUAAUUAAAUGUUAGCAGGGAUUAUUUUUCACCUUGUGGUGUCCCCACAGAACUGGGCUGUAUGAAGGCAGGGUGGCUUGUCAACCCCAAGGCUCUUUACGCCCCAAGUUUUUAAAAUACAGCAAAGCAGGUUGGGCCUUUCUCUAUAGCCAUUGCAGCCAUGAGGGUUGCUCAAGUUGUAAAAUAGAAAGAUGCCACAGAAGCCAAGCCUGCAACAAAGCUUUAUUGAAAAUGGAGACUUGGAGCUGUUCACAUGAAAACAGCUUCCCCCGGGGAACAAGCUCUCCUUAACUUCAGUUCCAUUAAUCAUGUUGCAAGAAUUACUGCUGAAAACACAUUGCUCU
This 1661-nucleotide long non-coding RNA is filed under the name Podarcis lilfordi (Lilford's wall lizard). Lineage: Eukaryota; Metazoa; Chordata; Lepidosauria; Squamata; Lacertidae. The record is from RNAcentral.